RNAcentral lists this ribosomal RNA (562 nucleotides) under uncultured Lactarius. RNAcentral's name for it is "eukaryotic LSU rRNA". The stretch from base 171 to 324 matches the Rfam family "5.8S ribosomal RNA". Lineage: Eukaryota; Fungi; Basidiomycota; Agaricomycetes; Russulales; Russulaceae. The record is from RNAcentral.
CGCCGGAGUGCGUCCUCUACACAUAAAAAUCCAUCUCACCCUUUUGUGCACCACCGCGUGGGCACCCUUCGGGAUCAAACCGAUCCAGGAAGGGGGCUUGCGUUUUCACACAAACCCCUUUUUAAAAGUGUAGAAUGACCCCAUUUUUUGCGAUAACACGCAAUCAAUACAACUUUCAACAACGGAUCUCUUGGCUCUCGCAUCGAUGAAGAACGCAGCGAAAUGCGAUACGUAAUGUGAAUUGCAGAAUUCAGUGAAUCAUCGAAUCUUUGAACGCACCUUGCGCCCCUUGGUAUUCCGAGGGGCACACCUGUUUGAGUGUCGUGAAAAUCUCAACCUUCUCGGUUUCUUCUGGAAACCAAAGGAGGCUUGGACUUUGGAGGCCUUUGCUGGCGUCUCUCUCUUUUGAGAGCCCAGCUCCUCUUAAAUGAAUUAGCGGGGUCCUCUUUGCUGGUCCUCGACAUGUGAUAAGAUGUUUCCAUGUCUUGGUUUCUGGCUCUGUUGCUUUUGGGACCCGCUUCUAACCGUCUCUACGAGACAACGUUUGAGCACGUCUUUCGAC